RNAcentral lists this ribosomal RNA (253 nucleotides) under uncultured bacterium. Its description in RNAcentral is "partial 16S ribosomal RNA". It matches the Rfam family "Bacterial small subunit ribosomal RNA", at positions 524 to 776 of the family's 1533-position model. The record is from RNAcentral.
UACAGAGGUCUCAAGCGUUGUUCGGAUUCAUUGGGCGUAAAGGGUGCGUAGGUGGCGCUGUAAGUCGGGUGUGAAAUUUCGGAGCUUAACUCCGAAACUGCAUUCGAUACUGCGGUACUUGAGGACUGGAGAGGAGACUGGAAUUCAUGGUGUAGCAGUGAAAUGCGUAGAGAUCAUGAGGAAGACCAGUGGCGAAGGCGGGUCUCUGGACAGUUCCUGACACUGAGGCACGAAGGCCAGGGGAGCAAACGGG